Molecule: ribosomal RNA, 247 nt
Filed under: uncultured bacterium
Lineage: Bacteria
Description: partial 16S ribosomal RNA
Rfam family: Bacterial small subunit ribosomal RNA
Source: RNAcentral
UGGGGAAGUCUGCCUUUGAGCGGGGGACGAACAUUUGGAAACGAAAUGCUAAUACCGCAUAAAAACUUUAAAACACAAGUUUCAAGUUUGAAAGAAUGCAAUUGCAUCACUCAAAGAUGAUCCCGCGUUGUAUUAGCUAGUUGGUGAGGUAAAGGCUCACCAAGGCGAUGAUACAUAGCCGACCUGAGAGGGUGAUCGGCCACAUUGGGACUGAGACACGGCCCAAACUCCUACGGGAGGCAGCAUG